GGCGGGGUAGCUCAGCUGGUUAGAGCGUCGGAUUCAUAAUCCGGAGGUCAUGGGAUCAUGCCCCAUUCCCGCUA
This 74-nucleotide transfer RNA is filed under the name Bacteroides sp. CAG:1060_57_27. RNAcentral's name for it is "tRNA-Met". It matches the Rfam family "tRNA". Rfam says of the family: Transfer RNA (tRNA) molecules are approximately 80 nucleotides in length. Their secondary structure includes four short double-helical elements and three loops (D, anti-codon, and T loops). The record is from RNAcentral. Lineage: Bacteria; Pseudomonadati; Bacteroidota; Bacteroidia; Bacteroidales; Bacteroidaceae. RNAcentral also lists the same sequence under 4 other names.